AGUGAAUGCUGGCGGUAGGCCUAACACAUGCAAGUCGAACGGCGGCACAGUAAGAGCUUGCUCUUACGGGUGGCGAGUGGCGGACGGGUGAGGAAUACAUCGGAAUCUACUUUUUCGUGGGGGAUAACGUAGGGAAACUUACGCUAAUACCGCAUACGACCUACGGGUGAAAGCAGGGGAUCUUCGGACCUUGCGCGAUUGAAUGAGCCGAUGUCGGAUUAGCUAGUUGGCGGGGUAAAGGCCCACCAAGGCGACGAUCCGUAGCUGGUCUGAGAGGAUGAUCAGCCACACUGGAACUGAGACACGGUCCAGACUCCUACGGGAGGCAGCAGUGGGGAAUAUUGGACAAUGGGCGCAAGCCUGAUCCAGCCAUACCGCGUGGGUGAAGAAGGCCUUCGGGUUGUAAAGCCCUUUUGUUGGGAAAGAAAAGCAGCAGGUUAAUACCCCGCUGUUCUGACGGUACCCAAAGAACAAGCACCGGCUAACUUCGUG
This 492-nucleotide ribosomal RNA is filed under the name uncultured bacterium. Its description in RNAcentral is "partial 16S ribosomal RNA". It matches the Rfam family "Bacterial small subunit ribosomal RNA", at positions 29 to 507 of the family's 1533-position model. The record is from RNAcentral.